RNAcentral lists this small nuclear RNA (104 nucleotides) under Macaca nemestrina (pig-tailed macaque). The record is from RNAcentral. Lineage: Eukaryota; Metazoa; Chordata; Mammalia; Primates; Cercopithecidae.
GUGCUCGCUUUGGCAGCACAUAUACUAAAAUUGGCCAUACAGAGAAGAUUAGCAUGACCCUGCACAAGGAGAACACGUACAUUCGUGAAGCGUUUCAUUUUUUU